RNAcentral lists this ribosomal RNA (558 nucleotides) under Triticum aestivum (bread wheat). RNAcentral's name for it is "partial small subunit ribosomal RNA". The record is from RNAcentral. Lineage: Eukaryota; Viridiplantae; Streptophyta; Magnoliopsida; Poales; Poaceae.
AUGAUGAGCAUCUAUUGGAGUCGAUCAUUUCCAAGAUCUAAUUCUAGUUUCUUAUUAUGUAGUGGAAACGCCUCACAAUCUUCAGUUUUACGCUUACGCUUAAGGGAAGAAAUGUUCUUGGUGGAUGCAGGCCCUGGUACCCCCAAAAUUUGUAUGCAAGAUGAGCUUACAGGACUGCCAAUCAAGCGAGCCACCAGGUUUGAGAAUAAGGUGGGAUCCAAGAAUGUAGUGGCUGGUGAAUCACUGAUCAAAAAGCGGAUUUUUGAGAGAUUCUUCAUCGAUCUAGUGGCCGGUGAAUCACUGAUCAAAGAGCGAGCAGCCGCCAGGUUUAAUGAUUUUGUGGGAUCCCUGGAUGUAGCGGCUGGCGAACCGCUUCUUCUUCCACAAAGAUUCAGACAAAACCGAGCUUGGAUAGAACUGAAGAAGAUUUGGCGAACGAAGAAAAAGGUCCAAGGGUUUAUUAUAAAAAAUCAAAGGAGGUUAUUCAGUAGCCAUCGCGGGUUUCAUUACUUUUCUUCCAUUCAAAAAAGCUCUUCUAAAAAAAAGGAUAGCGAAUGA